GGAGUUGUGGUUUAGUGGUAGAGCACUUGCCUGGCAUGUGUGAGGCACUGGGUUCAAUUCUCAGCACCA
This 69-nucleotide transfer RNA is filed under the name Urocitellus parryii (Arctic ground squirrel). RNAcentral describes it as "Spermophilus parryii (Arctic ground squirrel) tRNA". It matches the Rfam family "tRNA". From Rfam's summary of the family: Transfer RNA (tRNA) molecules are approximately 80 nucleotides in length. Their secondary structure includes four short double-helical elements and three loops (D, anti-codon, and T loops). Further hydrogen bonds mediate the characteristic L-shaped molecular structure. tRNAs have two regions of fundamental functional importance: the anti-codon, which is responsible for specific mRNA codon recognition, and the 3' end, to which the tRNAs corresponding amino acid is attached (by aminoacyl-tRNA synthetases). tRNAs cope with the degeneracy of the genetic code in two manners: having more than one tRNA (with a specific anti-codon) for a particular amino acid; and 'wobble' base-pairing, i.e. permitting non-standard base-pairing at the 3rd anti-codon position. Lineage: Eukaryota; Metazoa; Chordata; Mammalia; Rodentia; Sciuridae. The record is from Rfam by way of RNAcentral. RNAcentral also lists the same sequence under 1 other name.